CCAUGGGGGGCCAGUAUGAAAAUGUAUGCACUCACUAACUGAAGAGCUCAUGACGUCUGGCUGGAGUUUUGCAGCUGUGAGCUGGAACCUGUCACCCUGAUCCGCUACAGACUCUGGCCUGCCACCCCCCAUCUGCCGCAAACAGCAAUUUCAGUGGACCUCCUGCGCCAGUUUGCAGCCCUGCAGCUGGAGUGUGGGGUGUCUUUGAGGGGGAUUACCUUGGCUUUCCAUAAAUCCAAUGCAUGCUGGAAGACAGUUGAGCUCUACCGGAAGCUCACAAAUGAAUCAUUUGAGGAGUUCAAACACUGGCAGUUUAAACGAGAGACUGUCAGGAAGUUGCCGCCACUGACCUCGGACGGAACAAAGUGUCCUCUCUGUCCACAGGUAUGUCAAUGAUAACAAUUAAGGAACAACUAUAAAGUCUCAGUAAGCUAGAAUUCUUAUUUGCAUUCAGUGUUGUUCAUAAUUUAUAAGGGGAAAUAUAUCCAACCUCAGUUGUCUUUCUUAUAUAUAUUCUGUCAUUGCCUUGCCAAACAGUAGUAAUGUUAUGCAGCAAUACCAUUGCAAGCCUCUCAAAAUCCCAACCCUUCAUCCAAGUCGUGGGAGGCGGAAACAGGUAAAGUAUGGGAUUGCCAGACAGGGCAAAGUUUUGUGGGUGGCUACGGUUGCCAUGAAGGCCUGUCUGGAUCCACAACACGCUGGAUAACGGGGCUCUGGUAAAGCUAGGUGGACCAAUCAUCUGCUUAGUGGAUACUACCGAUUAAAGAUACAUUCACGAAGAAACUACAGUGUAAAUUACCUAUGUUUCCCAGAGAGCACAAGGGUUUAAGUAAUACCCUUGCAAAUUUCCAUUCCCUGUAUCCCUAAUAAUUUUGUAUAAUUAAUUAUUAGCAUUAUUAUUUUAAAGGAAAACGGUCAUCAAAUUAUUGCAGCUGAUGCCCUAUUUGGGCUUCCGAGAAAAAUAUCAUCUGGGACUAGCAUUGAGGGUCCCAAACAUGCUGGGCGGUUCUUUUGUGACCAAGACAAAGUUGACUGCUUUGUAGGAGGAGCAUCAGACACACCAACUGAGGUAUACUGAAUUUUGAAGAAUGGGAUGUAUCUCACAAUCAGUUAGUUUCUCUAGCCCUCUUCUGUGUGAUGUGUAUCUGUGUGUAUUACCAACAGCUGGGCUAAUGUUGGAGAAGUUUAAAGGUUUGAUUGAAAUCAGGAGAAGACAUUUAUCCUUGGUGUUGCGACUCUACCAUUGGACUAUUCUGUCUUUUUUUGUUUUUUUUUGUGAAGUUGAACAGAUUGGAUGAAACAUGAACUGUGAAUGUGACUUUUUUCACUUCAUUUUACAGGGGUGCCUGGGAUUUAGAGCCGGGGAUGCACUGCGAUCCAAAACCCAGAAACUGGACAUAACUGGUGUGUUUGGGAUGGCGUGCAGGCACGAGCAUCCGCUAAAGUUCCUGAACCUGAAGAGAGGAGAGAAGCUUGCAAAUCCUGUGUUCCUGCUGGGGGACCUGAAAGCAAUGCAAGGACCAAACAUCACAACGUUUCUUCACUAUGACAUUGCAUGCCAUUUGUAGUUGCACAGUUGCCCUAACAAUAUUAAGAAACAGCUAGUUGUAAUUUGUCCUAGUCCCUUAAUUAAUCAUCAUCACCCAUUGUAAUGCUCAUUCUGGUUUCUGAUUCUAAUAAAUUCAAA
Coregonus clupeaformis (lake whitefish) is the source of this 1687-nucleotide RNA transcript. RefSeq lists it as uncharacterized. NCBI's taxonomy places the organism in Eukaryota, Metazoa, Chordata, Actinopteri, Salmoniformes, Salmonidae. The record is from RefSeq and is a predicted model, not a curated record. The transcript is spliced from 4 exons.